Parelaphostrongylus tenuis is the source of this 71-nucleotide non-coding RNA. The record is from the annotation of a GenBank genome assembly. Lineage: Eukaryota; Metazoa; Nematoda; Chromadorea; Rhabditida; Metastrongylidae.
GUGUCGGUGGUGCAACGGUUCAGCACACGCACCCGGAAAGAGAGAUCUAGGUUCGGAUCCCGGCUGACGCA